Molecule: small nuclear RNA, 23 nt
Filed under: Arabidopsis thaliana (thale cress)
Lineage: Eukaryota; Viridiplantae; Streptophyta; Magnoliopsida; Brassicales; Brassicaceae
Description: snRNA_12135
Source: RNAcentral
GGAUUGACUAUGAAUCGUGUCUU